GAUGAACGCUGGCGGCGUGCCUAAUACAUGCAAGUCGAGCGAACAGACGAGGAGCUUGCUCCUCUGACGUUAGCGGCGGACGGGUGAGUAACACGUGGAUAACCUACCUAUAAGACUGGGUUAACUUCGGGAAACCGGAGCUAAUACCGGAUAAUAUAUUGAACCGCAUGGUUCAAUAGUGAAAGACGGUUUUGCUGUCACUUAUAGAUGGAUCCGCGCCGCAUUAGCUAGUUGGUAAGGUAACGGCUUACCAAGGCAACGAUGCGUAGCCGACCUGAGAGGGUGAUCGGCCACACUGGAACUGAGACACGGUCCAGACUCCUACGGGAGGCAGCAGUAGGGAAUCUUCCGCAAUGGGCGAAAGCCUGACGGAGCAACGCCGCGUGAGUGAUGAAGGUCUUCGGAUCGUAAAACUCUGUUAUUAGGAAAGAACAAAUGUGUAAGUAACUAUGCACGUCUUGACGGUACCUAAUCAGAAAGCCACGGCUAACUACGUG
RNAcentral lists this ribosomal RNA (497 nucleotides) under uncultured bacterium. RNAcentral describes it as "partial 16S ribosomal RNA". It matches the Rfam family "Bacterial small subunit ribosomal RNA", at positions 28 to 507 of the family's 1533-position model. The record is from RNAcentral.